This 297-nucleotide signal recognition particle RNA is filed under the name Saimiri boliviensis boliviensis (Bolivian squirrel monkey). Its description in RNAcentral is "Metazoan signal recognition particle RNA (ENSSBOG00000012512.1)". It matches the Rfam family "Metazoan signal recognition particle RNA". Rfam says of the family: The signal recognition particle (SRP) is a universally conserved ribonucleoprotein. It is involved in the co-translational targeting of proteins to membranes. Lineage: Eukaryota; Metazoa; Chordata; Mammalia; Primates; Cebidae. The record is from Rfam by way of RNAcentral.
GCUAAGCGCAGUGGUGUGUGCCUGUAGUCCCAGCUACUCGGGAGGCUGAAGUGGGAGGAUCACUUGGGCCCAGGAGUUCUGGGCUGCAGUGCGCUAUGCCAUCCCGGUGUCCACACUCAGUUCAGCAUCAAUAUGGUGACAUUCCGGGAAUAGGGGACCACCAGGUUGCCUAAGGAGUAGUGAACUGGCCCAGGUCAGAAAUGGAGCAGGUCAAAACUCCCGUGCUGAUCAGUAGUGGGAUUGCACCUGUGAAUAGCCACUGCACUCCAGCCUGGGCAACAGCAAGACCCCGUCUAU